CCUACGGGGGGCAGCAGUGGGGAAUAUUGGACAAUGGGGGGAACCCUGAUCCAGCCAUGCCGCGUGUGUGAAGAAGGCCCUCGGGUUGUAAAGCACUUUCAGUGAGGAAGAACGCCUGGUGGUUAAUACCCAUCAGGAAAGACAUCACUCACAGAAGAAGCACCGGCUAACUCCGUGCCAGCAGCCGCGGUAAUACGGAGGGUGCGAUCGUUAAUCGGAAUUACUGGGCGUAAAGCGCGCGUAGGUGGCUUGAUAAGCCGGUUGUGAAAGCCCCGGGCUCAACCUGGGAACGGCAUCCGGAACUGUCAAGCUAGAGUGCAGGAGAGGAAGGUAGAAUUCCCGGUGUAGCGGUGAAAUGCGUAGAGAUCGGGAGGAAUACCAGUGGCGAAGGCGGCCUUCUGGACUGACACUGACACUGAGGUGCGAAAGCGUGGGUAGCAAACAGGAUUAGAUACCCUGGUAGUC
RNAcentral lists this ribosomal RNA (465 nucleotides) under Vreelandella stevensii. RNAcentral's name for it is "partial 16S ribosomal RNA". It matches the Rfam family "Bacterial small subunit ribosomal RNA", at positions 338 to 795 of the family's 1533-position model. The record is from RNAcentral. Lineage: Bacteria; Pseudomonadati; Pseudomonadota; Gammaproteobacteria; Oceanospirillales; Halomonadaceae.